GGCGGGAUGCUGGAGUGGUUUAACAGGCCUGUCUUGAAAACAGGUGUAUCAGAAAUGGUACCGUGGGUUCGAAUCCUACUCCCGCCG
This 87-nucleotide transfer RNA is filed under the name Candidatus Atribacteria bacterium. Its description in RNAcentral is "tRNA-Ser". It matches the Rfam family "tRNA". From Rfam's summary of the family: Transfer RNA (tRNA) molecules are approximately 80 nucleotides in length. Lineage: Bacteria; Pseudomonadati; Atribacterota; Atribacteria. The record is from RNAcentral.